AGAGCGAACGCUGGCGGCAGGCUUAACACAUGCAAGUCGAACGAACCCUUCGGGGUUAGUGGCGGACGGGUGAGUAACACGUGGGAACGUGCCCUUAGGUUCGGAACAACACAGGGAAACUUGUGCUAAUACCGGAUAAGCCCUUACGGGGAAAGAUUUAUCGCCUUUGGAGCGGCCCGCGUCUGAUUAGCUUGUUGGUGAGGUAAAGGCUCACCAAGGCUACGAUCAGUAGCUGGU
This 237-nucleotide ribosomal RNA is filed under the name uncultured bacterium. RNAcentral's name for it is "partial small subunit ribosomal RNA". It matches the Rfam family "Bacterial small subunit ribosomal RNA", at positions 26 to 291 of the family's 1533-position model. The record is from RNAcentral.